Molecule: long non-coding RNA, 478 nt
Filed under: Zostera marina
Lineage: Eukaryota; Viridiplantae; Streptophyta; Magnoliopsida; Alismatales; Zosteraceae
Description: long non-coding RNA (ZMAR_LNC005004)
Source: RNAcentral
AUCGUUAAACAUUCGAUGUUUAAAUAAGCAAAUAUAAAAAUAGUUUAAUCAACACUCAUCUGAAAUCGAGUCUUCUGAAUCAGAAUCCGAAAUAUCUGAUUCGAAUGCAGACGGUAUGGUGGACUUUGAAGUGGAAGCCAUGUGCGUCAUGUCGAGUCCGGAAGUCUUCAAAGUCUUAUUGAGUUUCUUCAUAUAAGAUUUCAUUGCAUUGAACUUCUUCUUGUAUUUGGAGACGUCUUUCUGACUCUAGUUACACUUGUUCUGAAAAUGAAAACAAAAAUGAGUUCGAUAAUCAACAAAAUUAUUGAAAUAUAUUUAAAAUACCUCCAAUUCUUUAACUUUUUCCGACCAAACUGCAUCUGGUGUUGCAUCAGUAGUCGUGUUUUCGGAGAUCGGCUCUUUUCCUUUCCAAUUUGGAGAAGUCCAUCUUUCGUUCGUUGUACUCACCAUAUAAGCAGCUUCUCCAAUUCCUAUGAUU